GACGAACGCUGGCGGCGUGCUUAACACAUGCAAGUCGAACGGUGAAGCGCCUUCCUUUUUGGUGGGUGUGGAUGAGUGGCGAACGGGUGAGUAACACGUGAGUAACCUGCCCCCUUCUUCUGGAUAACCGCAUGAAAGUGUGGCUAAUACGGGAUAUUCUGGGUCUGUCGCAUGAUGGGUCUGGGAAAGAUAUUGUUUCGGUGGGGGAUGGGCUCGCGGCCUAUCAGCUUGUUGGUGGGGUGAUGGCCUACCAAGGCGGUGACGGGUAGCCGGCCUGGGAGGGUGAACGGUCACACUGGGACUGAGACACGGCCCAGACUCCUACGGGAGGCAGCAGUGAGGAAUAGUGCACAAUGGGCGCAAGCCUGAUGCAGCGACGCCGCGGGAGGGAUGGAGGCCGGCGGGUUGUGAACCUCUUUCGCCAGUGAAGCAGGCCUGCCUCGUUUGUGGGUGGGUUGACGGUAGCUGGAUAAGAAGCGCCGGCUAACUACGUG
RNAcentral lists this ribosomal RNA (494 nucleotides) under uncultured bacterium. Its description in RNAcentral is "partial 16S ribosomal RNA". It matches the Rfam family "Bacterial small subunit ribosomal RNA", at positions 28 to 507 of the family's 1533-position model. The record is from RNAcentral.